Molecule: ribosomal RNA, 495 nt
Filed under: uncultured bacterium
Lineage: Bacteria
Description: partial 16S ribosomal RNA
Rfam family: Bacterial small subunit ribosomal RNA
Source: RNAcentral
GACGAACGCUGGCGGCGUGCCUAAUACAUGCAAGUAGAACGCUGAAGGAGGAGCUUGCUUCUCUGGAUGAGUUGCGAACGGGUGAGUAACGCGUAGGUAACCUGCCUGGUAGCGGGGGAUAACUAUUGGAAACGAUAGCUAAUACCGCAUAAGAGUAGAUGUUGCAUGACAUUUGCUUAAAAGGUGCAAUUGCAUCACUACCAGAUGGACCUGCGUUGUAUUAGCUAGUUGGUGGGGUAACGGCUCACCAAGGCGACGAUACAUAGCCGACCUGAGAGGGUGAUCGGCCACACUGAGACUGAGACACGGCCCAGACUCCUACGGGAGGCAGCAGUAGGGAAACUUCGGCAAUCGACGGAAGUCUGACCGAGCAACGCCGCGUGAGUGAAGAAGGUUUUCGGAUCGUAAAGCUCUGUUGUAAGAGAAGAACGAGUGUGAGAGUGGAAAGUUCACACUGUGACGGUAUCUUACCAGAAAGGGACGGCUAACUACGUG